AUUACUGGGCGUAAAGCGAGUGUAGGUGGCUCAUUAAGUCACAUGUGAAAUCCCCGGGCUUAACCUGGGAACUGCAUGUGAUACUGGUGGUGCUAGAAUAUGUGAGAGGGAAGUAGAAUUCCAGGUGUAGCGGUGAAAUGCGUAGAGAUCUGGAGGAAUACCGAUGGCGAAGGCAGCUUCCUGGCAUAAUAUUGACACUGAGAUUCGAAAGCGUGGGUAGCAAACAGGAUUAGAUACCCUGGUAGUCCACGCCGUAAACGAUGUCUACUAGGUGUGGGGGGUCUGACCCCCUCCGUGCCGCAGUUAACACAAUAAGUAUCCCACCUGGGGAGUACGAUCGCAAGGUUGAAACUCAAAGGAAUUGAC
This 366-nucleotide ribosomal RNA is filed under the name uncultured bacterium. RNAcentral describes it as "bacterial SSU rRNA". It matches the Rfam family "Bacterial small subunit ribosomal RNA", at positions 550 to 914 of the family's 1533-position model. The record is from RNAcentral.